Molecule: ribosomal RNA, 108 nt
Filed under: Nannospalax galili (Upper Galilee mountains blind mole rat)
Lineage: Eukaryota; Metazoa; Chordata; Mammalia; Rodentia; Spalacidae
Source: RNAcentral
GUGUACAGCCAUACCACCCUGAUCAUGCCUCAUUUUGGAAGCCAAGCAGGGUCAGGCCUGGUUAGUACUUGGAUGGGAGAAAUUCUCCUCACAAAAGUGUUGUUCAAU